UCACUUUGGCAGCAGAUAGACGAAUGUUGGAACAAUACUGGGAAGAUUAGCAUUGCCCUGCACAAAGAUGAUACACAAAUUUGUGAAGAAAAAAAAAAUGGG
RNAcentral lists this small nuclear RNA (102 nucleotides) under Zalophus californianus (California sea lion). The record is from RNAcentral. Lineage: Eukaryota; Metazoa; Chordata; Mammalia; Carnivora; Otariidae.